AUCCGAAGUGUAAACUUCGGGAUAAUAAUAAAGAUGAAAUUCCUCUUUGACGGGCCAAUAGAAAUAUUGGCCGCUUUUUU
RNAcentral lists this small RNA (80 nucleotides) under Enterobacter sp. CC120223-11. RNAcentral's name for it is "sroB RNA". It matches the Rfam family "sroB RNA". Lineage: Bacteria; Pseudomonadati; Pseudomonadota; Gammaproteobacteria; Enterobacterales; Enterobacteriaceae. The record is from RNAcentral.